GCAAGCCAAGUCUUUAUUAAAGCCUCUUCCUUUUUUAUCAGUACUUGAUACCUAUAAUGGCAAAAUAUUUGGAGUAAGCAAAACAGGAAAAUCGUACAAAGUACGUUCGCAGCCUUUGCUCAGUCUUAUGAAGCAGGAAAAUCAAAGCCAAAUAAUUCAAAAAACCUUUUCUUCCUUUGGAAAUUUGACUAGUUUCUGGAAAAUUGGGGCACUAGUCUCUGUCCAUUCCUGCCAGAAGUCAUGGAUUAGCAAAAGAAGAAAGAAUAUCUUUACAAUAGAUUCUAUUUUAUGAAGUUUGUUGCAAAUAAAAGAGCGUGUCGACUAGAAAUUAUGACAUCUGUGGAAAGUUUGAGUUUAAGCCCAAAAUGAUUUAAAGUUGAAUUCCUUAAAGGGAGAAGGAAGAGCAAUGGAACACAGGUGAUUGGGCUGUAAUUAAUGUUAUACAUGUAAAGUUGGUAUGAUGCUUUCUUUAACGCUCUCAAUGCCUUGUCGUAUAGCAAGAUCAAAGAAA
Xenia sp. Carnegie-2017 is the source of this 511-nucleotide long non-coding RNA. RefSeq lists it as uncharacterized. The record is from RefSeq and is a predicted model, not a curated record. The transcript has 4 exons. NCBI's taxonomy places the organism in Eukaryota, Metazoa, Cnidaria, Anthozoa, Malacalcyonacea, Xeniidae.